CAUGGCCUACGGGAGGCAGCAGUCGGGAAUAUUGCGCAAUGGAGGCAACUCUGACGCAGUGACGCCGCGUAUAGGAAGAAGGUUUUCGGAUUGUAAACUAUUGUCCUCAGGGAAGAAAAAAGACUGUACCUGAGAAGAAAGCUCCGGCUAACUACGUGCCAGCAGCCGCGGGAAUACGUAGGGAGCAAGAGUUAUCCGGAAUUAUUGGGUGUAAAGGGUGCGUAGACGGGAUAACAAGUUGGUUGUGACACCCCUCGGCUCAACUGAGGAACUGCAACACAAACUAUUAUUCUUGAGUGCAGGAG
This 305-nucleotide ribosomal RNA is filed under the name uncultured bacterium. RNAcentral's name for it is "bacterial SSU rRNA". It matches the Rfam family "Bacterial small subunit ribosomal RNA", at positions 333 to 654 of the family's 1533-position model. The record is from RNAcentral.